RNAcentral lists this ribosomal RNA (253 nucleotides) under uncultured bacterium. RNAcentral's name for it is "partial 16S ribosomal RNA". It matches the Rfam family "Bacterial small subunit ribosomal RNA", at positions 524 to 776 of the family's 1533-position model. The record is from RNAcentral.
UACGUAGGGUCCGAGCGUUGUCCUGAAUUAUUGGGCGUAAAGGGCUCGUAGGCGGUUUGUCGCGUCGGGAGUGAAAACACCGGGCUUAACUCGGUGCUUGCUUUCGAUACGGGCAGACUGGAGGUAUGCAGGGGAGAACGGAAUUCCUGGUGUAGCGGUGAAAUGCGCAGAUAUCAGGAGGAACACCGGUGGCGAAGGCGGUUCUCUGGGCAUUACCUGACGCUGAGGAGCGAAAGCGUGGGGAGCGAACAGG